AGGUUUGAUUAUGGCUCAGAACGAACGCUGGCGGCGUGCCUAACACAUGCAAGUCGAGCGCAAAGUCCCUUCGGGGGCGAGUAGAGCGGCGGACGGGUGAGUAAUACAUGGAUAAUCUACCUCGAGACCGGGAUAACCUUGCGAAAGCGGGGCUAAUACCGGAUAAGACCACGUAACACAGUUACGUGGUAAAAGGUGGCUUAAUUUAACAGGUUAAGCUAUCACUUGAGGAUGAGUCAUGGCCUAUCAGCUAGUUGGUAGGGUAAUGGCCUACCAAGGCUAUGACGGGUAGCUGGUUGARAGGACGGCCAGCCACACUGGGACUGAGACACGGCCCAGACUCCUACGGGAGGCAGAGUGGGGAAUAUUGGGCAAUGGGCGAAAGCCUGACCCAKCGACGCCGCGUGGGUGAUGAGGCCUUCGGGUCGUAAACCCCUUUCGUGCGGAAAGAACAGUCCUGUGGCGAAUAACCGCGGAUCUGACGGUACCGCARGAAGAAGCACCGGCUAACUCCGUGCCAGCAGCCGCGGUAAACGGAGGGUGCAAGCGUUGUUCGGAAUUACUGGGCGUAAAGGGCGCGUAGGUGGUUAUGAAG
Molecule: ribosomal RNA, 595 nt
Filed under: uncultured delta proteobacterium
Lineage: Bacteria; Deltaproteobacteria
Description: bacterial SSU rRNA
Rfam family: Bacterial small subunit ribosomal RNA
Source: RNAcentral